RNAcentral lists this small RNA (178 nucleotides) under Chelonoidis abingdonii (Abingdon island giant tortoise). Its description in RNAcentral is "TUC338 (ENSCABG00000022172.1)". The record is from RNAcentral. Lineage: Eukaryota; Metazoa; Chordata; Testudines; Testudinidae.
AAGACAGCCUUUGGAAAAAGAAUUCAUGAUUUAGCUAGCAAGCAGUACAUCCUGAGUAGGGGCAUUGCAAGUUUUCUCACAUCCCUGCCACCACAGUGCUUCAAAUUUGUCCUGGAAAGAGCGCAUUAUGGGUUGAGAAAGUAGCUCUGUCUCCAUACUAGUUCAAUCCUUGGCCUCU